UACGUAGGGCGCAAGCGUUGUCCGGAAUUAUUGGGCGUAAAGAGCUCGUAGGCGGCUUGUCACGUCGGGUGUGAAAGCCCGGGGCUUAACCCCGGGUCUGCAUUCGAUACGGGCAGGCUAGAGUGUGGUAGGGGAGAUCGGAAUUCCUGGUGUAGCGGUGAAAUGUGUAGAGAUCGGGAGGAACACCGGUGGCGAAGGCGGUCUUCUGGACGGUGACUGACGCUGAGGCGCGAAAGCGUGGGGAGCAAACGGG
Molecule: ribosomal RNA, 253 nt
Filed under: uncultured bacterium
Lineage: Bacteria
Description: partial 16S ribosomal RNA
Rfam family: Bacterial small subunit ribosomal RNA
Source: RNAcentral